UGGAGUGUGGCUCAGUGGUACAGCACUUGCCUAGCAUGUGUGAGGCUCUGGGUUUGAUUCUCAGCACCACAU
Molecule: transfer RNA, 72 nt
Filed under: Ictidomys tridecemlineatus (thirteen-lined ground squirrel)
Lineage: Eukaryota; Metazoa; Chordata; Mammalia; Rodentia; Sciuridae
Description: Spermophilus tridecemlineatus (thirteen-lined ground squirrel) tRNA
Rfam family: tRNA
About the family: Transfer RNA (tRNA) molecules are approximately 80 nucleotides in length. Their secondary structure includes four short double-helical elements and three loops (D, anti-codon, and T loops).
Source: Rfam by way of RNAcentral